CUCCUUUCCCCAUUGAAACCAAGUUCUCAGGUCAUGGCACAAACAUAGAAAAUUAAACUCAUCCUUUACAGAAAGGAAAACAUUCCUGGAAGACCAGUGUAAUGCCUUGAGUUCUCAGAAAACAGCUUAAGAAGCAGAAUUGAACCUGCUAAAGAAGAAAUUGUAUAUGGUGGUGGAGUUCUCUGAAAACUGAAAACUGACUGCAGAAGAGAAGCUAGAAGAGAAACUGUAUGAAUUGAAUGCAACUAAGAAUGAGCUGUUAGCUGCCGAUAAAUAUCUGAAAGUAACUGAAGAANNNNNNNNNNNNNN
RNAcentral lists this long non-coding RNA (309 nucleotides) under Mustela putorius furo (domestic ferret). RNAcentral describes it as "lncRNA (ENSMPUG00000032025.1)". The record is from RNAcentral. Lineage: Eukaryota; Metazoa; Chordata; Mammalia; Carnivora; Mustelidae.